AUGUGUGGAAGCAUCUGUUCCAAGCUGUCAGAAAGUUCAAGGGUGAUGUUUCCAAGGAACCCAACUAUGCAUAUUGUUGGAUGGCAUCUUUUUCUCUGGGGGCAGAACUGCACAUUUUUUCAACCAUUUGUCGCAUUUUGUCACCUUGCAUUCUUAGUUGAACUGAACCUAAGACAAAUCGACGAAAACAAUGAAGAAAAUGAUUUCUCCCGGCCGGAUCCGUGGACAAGGACCUCGCCCUGGACAGAUCCGGUGUUCCGCAAACUCGAGGGGAUCCGGUCGCCGGAGUGGAAGAGGACGCGGGAUCCGGGUGAUUUGGCAGUCAGAGUGGAAGAGGACGAGCGCUCGGGCCGGCGCUUCGGUCGCAGGAGCCGAGGGAGGGUGGGGCUGCACCCGGUCUCCUGGCCACGGCUGAAGGGGAGCGUGGUCGCCGACGACCACCACCGCGGGAACUACGCACAGAUGAGAAAGAGAGAGGGAGGGGGAUGGCUGGGCGACGGAACA
RNAcentral lists this ribosomal RNA (504 nucleotides) under Triticum aestivum (bread wheat). Its description in RNAcentral is "partial small subunit ribosomal RNA". Lineage: Eukaryota; Viridiplantae; Streptophyta; Magnoliopsida; Poales; Poaceae. The record is from RNAcentral.